UGGGAAUCUUCCCAUGGACGCAAGUCUGAUGGAGCAACGCCGCGUGAGUGAAGAAGGUUUUCGGACCGUAAAGCUCUGUUGUUGGUGAAGAAGGAUAGAGGUAGUAACUGGCCUUUAUUUGACGGUAAUCAACCAGAAAGUCACGGCUAACUACGUGCCAGCAGCCGCGGUAAU
This 174-nucleotide ribosomal RNA is filed under the name uncultured Lactobacillus sp. RNAcentral describes it as "partial 16S ribosomal RNA". It matches the Rfam family "Bacterial small subunit ribosomal RNA", at positions 356 to 524 of the family's 1533-position model. The record is from RNAcentral. Lineage: Bacteria; Bacillati; Bacillota; Bacilli; Lactobacillales; Lactobacillaceae.